Molecule: long non-coding RNA, 269 nt
Filed under: Vigna radiata
Lineage: Eukaryota; Viridiplantae; Streptophyta; Magnoliopsida; Fabales; Fabaceae
Description: long non-coding RNA (VRAD_LNC002020)
Source: RNAcentral
UUCAUUUUCCAAACACAACUUACCUUAUUAACUCACUCCAAAAAGGUCUCCAUGACAUCCUGGUACGUGCCACCUGAAUUCCUAUACUCUCCACUUGCUUGUUGAUGAUGGUGAUCCAUUGAAGUAGAGGAUGAAGAUGAAACCACUUUGGCAGGUAGAGUGAAGCACCUCUUGAACUUGUCCACUUUCCUUGUCCCUUCAGAUUGGCCAUCCAAGCUCAAGAACUCAUUUGGGUUUGCCACACUAGCAUUCUGCACUGCUGAGGUUGG